CAAGGUGAUUUGGCACUUCUAAUAAAUCAGGAAAUGUAUUUAUCUAUUAUCUCCUCUCUUUUUUUUAGAUUUAUCCCUCUCAUUUCAACAUAAUAAUAAUCAAUUAUUAAAUAACAAUGGCACCGUUUCAAUUACUUAUACUUCCGUUAAGACCUAUGAACGAGGAAUAAAGCCCCCGAUUCACAAUCGACAAGCGAAAACUUAGGCUUUUCCAUUUCAAGAGUGUGCGCGAAGCCACGUCUCUUUGCCACCAUUAUGAUUUCAUUCAAGGAAAUCUCACAGGCAUUCAGAUGAAUCUUCACAAGUUUUUCACCACCGGUAAACCUUGAACUUUGGUACCUUGAAUCUUCACAAGUUUACGGUUAGAGUUAUUUGAGCAGUUUAUUGGCAUGAGUUGCUGAUAAGAGUUAAGACAUCAUAUUCUGGCUGGCUGAUGGUCUUAACGAGGAAAGAUUAUACUAUUUUUGUUACCUGCAUUGUAGCACUAUAGAUUUUGAAUUUUGGAUAUUCUUAUAUUUGUAAAAUGGUAUACGGGUACAAAGGAGGGGAAAGUGAACGAAUGCCAAGAAAACAAACUGAGAGACCCAAAGGCAAAAUAUUCGAACAAAGAAGGAAAAGUUGAAUUAGUAUUUCAGAAAACAUAAAGAAGAAGCAUAUCGCAACAUUACUAACACUUCACUUUUGUUAACAUCAUUCGCUUAAUGUGUUUUACUUUACGUUGGCUUUCGAAAUUUUCAUUUUUAUUCUAUUUGAUUUACAUUUAUGUGAUCAAAAUUUGUAUUUUUACGCAAGGUGUUUCUUCCUUUCUUUUAUUAAGCAGUCCGCAAAGGCGGAUUCAGGAUUUGAUGGCUACGGGUACCAUGGACGGAUGCACAUUUAUCGAAGCGGUGUCAUGCGACACCGUCGUAAUUUUUUACUAAAACAAACUGAGAGACCCAAAGGCAAAAUAUUCGGACAAAGAAGGAAAAGUUGAAUUAGUAUUUCAGAAAACAUAAAGAAGAAGCAUAUCGCAACAUUACUAACACUUCACUUUUGUUAACAUCAUUCGCUUAAUGUGUUUUACUUUACGUUGGCUUUCGAAAUUUUCAUUUUUAUUCUAUUUGAUUUACAUUUAUGUGAUCAAAAUUUGUAUUUUUA
Molecule: long non-coding RNA, 1137 nt
Organism: Nicotiana tabacum (common tobacco)
Lineage: Eukaryota; Viridiplantae; Streptophyta; Magnoliopsida; Solanales; Solanaceae
Source: RefSeq, a predicted model, not a curated record